RNAcentral lists this ribosomal RNA (253 nucleotides) under uncultured bacterium. RNAcentral's name for it is "partial 16S ribosomal RNA". It matches the Rfam family "Bacterial small subunit ribosomal RNA", at positions 524 to 776 of the family's 1533-position model. The record is from RNAcentral.
UACGGAGGGUGCAAGCGUUAUCCGGAUCCACUGGGUUUAAAGGGUGCGUAGGCGGCGCGGUAAGUCGGGUGUGAAAUCUCGGGGCUUAACUCCGAAACUGCAUUCGAUACUGCCGUGCUUGAGGACUGGAGAGGAGACUGGAAUUUACGGUGUAGCGGUGAAAUGCGUAGAUAUCGUAAGGAAGACCAGUGGCGAAGGCGGGUCUCUGGACAGUUCCUGACGCUGAGGCACGAAGGCCAGGGGAGCAAACGGG